Molecule: transfer RNA, 71 nt
Filed under: Agrilus planipennis (emerald ash borer)
Lineage: Eukaryota; Metazoa; Arthropoda; Insecta; Coleoptera; Buprestidae
Rfam family: tRNA
About the family: Transfer RNA (tRNA) molecules are approximately 80 nucleotides in length. Their secondary structure includes four short double-helical elements and three loops (D, anti-codon, and T loops).
Source: Rfam by way of RNAcentral
CUCUUCGUAGCUUAGUGGUAGAGUACUGGUGCGAAAAAGCAAAGGCCCGGGUUCGGUUCCCGGCGAGGGUA